Long non-coding RNA from Tachysurus vachellii, 1097 nucleotides. RefSeq lists it as uncharacterized. The record is from RefSeq and is a predicted model, not a curated record. The transcript has 2 exons. NCBI's taxonomy places the organism in Eukaryota, Metazoa, Chordata, Actinopteri, Siluriformes, Bagridae.
GUUACUGUCCUUUAGGACGCUCUUAGUGGCGCUGAAUGAACGGAUUUCAGCUUGUAGCCUUCAGUGUUGCUCAAACUAAAUGAUUGAAUGCUCUGCUUCUGCCACGUCUUCACAUGUUAAAUGUUGUCCUUAUAGUGUGCUCUUAAAAUGCAUUUUUUGUGCCACCCUUUGCUUUUUUGGUGUUUACAUCUUCCUCUGACUGUUGUGUCAUGGCUGAAAGUUCUUAUCUUUUCUGGGACAGUACUGUGAGGAGCUCCUUCACCUUUAAAAACCAGGCCACAGCCCUCCUCAGCUUCACCCAGCACAAGAAGUAGAAGACAAGGAAGCAGUAUGGAUUGCUAUCAUCAAACCCAUGUACAACAUUAGCAGUCAUAAUUACAUACCAUUGUCUUUGAAUGGAGGGGGAACACUGGUUGUGGGCGAAGGCCUUUCACGUCGUCGGCAUCCAGAGAACAAAGGAUGAAUUAAACAAUCCUUAUGCAGCCAUCCGUGCAUCAAUCAACAAUAAUCCACAAGAUAUGACUUUGCUGAAUCGUCCUUUAGGUCCUAGGGCAGGUUUUUUAUUGUUGUAGUGACUAUUUGUCAAAAAAUAAUUCAAACUUAACUCCAAAAUAACUCAAAUAAUCACCAAGAUACACCAUGGGUUGUGGUUUCGUAGUUAAAGGAUUGAGUCCAAGCCAGGUGAUGCAAUUGGUGAGAUUUAUUAAAGGGUUUGCAGGCAAACAAACAAUUUUGCAUCUCCUGCUACCUUGUGCCCAACUGGCCUAACCCGAUAGAAAAGAAAUACUAAGUGCUAAACCAAUCAAAUUAGCAGAUUACUAAGAAAAGUAAACAUAUUCUAAUUAACAUAAAAAUUAACACAAGACCAAAAAAUUAACUACUUAACAAAUAAACUAAAUUUUAACAUUACACAAACAAAAAUAGACAAACAGCUCCUACAAACAUGUUUAUAAAGCAUUUCUCAACACUCAGUAACUCCAUCUAAAUAAUUACUAACACUUUCUAAAUGAUCUUAUGAACCACUGACAAUAAUUUAUUACUUAUUUUAAAAAUAUAAAUUGAUCAAUAAUAAAGUAUGUACAUGUAAUUACUAAGCA